Molecule: long non-coding RNA, 811 nt
Filed under: Junco hyemalis (dark-eyed junco)
Lineage: Eukaryota; Metazoa; Chordata; Aves; Passeriformes; Passerellidae
Description: lncRNA (ENSJHYG00000014867.1)
Source: RNAcentral
GGAGGAGGCACCGGCGCGCGUGGCUGUCGGCAGGACUCGCCCACCCCGCCGGGCGCUUUUGUGUCUUUUUCUGUUUUGUUUGGUGUUUGUGUUUUGGGAUUUUUUUUUUUUUUGUUUGAGGGGGGAGGAAGUGUUUUGUUUGUUUCUGGGAAGGGGCUGUUGAAAGACUGCUUCUUGAGCUUGGGGAAGGAGCGGGAUCGCCCUCUCCUUGCGGAAAGGCCAGCAGUCCCCUUCCUCCGGCUGCAGACGGAUCCGCACACGCCCCCUCCUAGAGAGGAGCCUGACGGUGCUUUUUGAGAGACUGGCGGGAGCGAGACGCUGUCCUUUUCCCUUUUUUUAUUUCCUGAAAAGAGAGACAGAGGAAGGGGGAGGGAGGGGAAACCACACACACCUCUGGGUUCUUUGUUAUUGCCCAUUUUAUACGAAUAAAGAGGAGGGGGAGUGAUGCGUUGUGCUGAGCGCGCACUGGAUGUCUUGAGCAUUCGCCCUUUACAAUGAAAGAGCGAUCAGAACUGCUUGGGAAAAAAAAAAAAAAAAAAAAAAAAAAAAAAAAAAAAGAAAAAAAAAUCAUGCCAGCUAACCAUGUCAAGUUCACUGCCUGUCAGAUUGUUGAUAUACCUUCUGUAAAUAACCUCUCUUUUGUUUUGUUUUGUUUUUAUUUUCCUUUUUUUUUUUUUUUUUUUUUUUUUUUUUUUUUUUUUUUUUUUUUUUUUUUUUUUUUUUUUUUUUUUGAGGGCUGCAGACAGUGUAACCGCACCCACAUGAAGCGGAAGCGCAUUUUUUGUGUAGGACUGGCUAUGGUUGCAGAGAU